CAAUUUUUGGAUAAUCGCAUGUCGCUUUUUUCUGUCGGCAUGAGGAAAGUCCAUGCUAGCACUGGCUGUGAUGCCAGUAGUGUUUGUGCUAGGUGAAACAAUAAGCCUAGGGAUGUCUAUUUGACAUUACGGCGGACGAUGAGGCUAAGUCCUUGGAUAUGCCUCUAGUCCUGAAAGUGCCACAGUGACGGAGCCUUUGAGGAAACUCAAGGGGUGGAACGCGGUAAACCCCUCAAGCUAGCAACCCAAACUUUGGUCGGGGCACGAGAUGGCUGGAAUGCGAACGGACCAUCUUGACUGCGCAAGCAGUAGACAGAUGAUUAUCGAAGGGGGUAGGACCUAGUACCUCUGGAACAAAACAUGGCUUAUAGAAAAU
This 376-nucleotide RNase P RNA is filed under the name Streptococcus downei F0415. RNAcentral describes it as "Bacterial RNase P class B". It matches the Rfam family "Bacterial RNase P class B". From Rfam's summary of the family: Ribonuclease P (RNase P) is a ubiquitous endoribonuclease, found in archaea, bacteria and eukarya as well as chloroplasts and mitochondria. Its best characterised activity is the generation of mature 5'-ends of tRNAs by cleaving the 5'-leader elements of precursor-tRNAs. The record is from RNAcentral. Lineage: Bacteria; Bacillati; Bacillota; Bacilli; Lactobacillales; Streptococcaceae.